Molecule: transfer RNA, 74 nt
Filed under: Bacteroidetes bacterium RIFCSPLOWO2_02_FULL_36_8
Lineage: Bacteria; Pseudomonadati; Bacteroidota
Also listed under: 1 other name
Description: tRNA-Ala
Rfam family: tRNA
About the family: Transfer RNA (tRNA) molecules are approximately 80 nucleotides in length. Their secondary structure includes four short double-helical elements and three loops (D, anti-codon, and T loops).
Source: RNAcentral
GGGGUUUUAGCUCAGUUGGCUAGAGCGCUUCGUUCGCAACGAAGAGGUCGGGGGUUCGAAUCCCCUAAACUCCA